GACGAACCGUCCUAACGUUAUUCGGAAUUACUGGGCUUAAAGCGCGUGUAGGCGGGGAGGCACGUCUGUCGCUUAAAUCCCACGGCUCAACCGUGGAACUGGCGUAGAUACGACCCCCCUGGAGGGGUGUAGGGGGACCUGGAACUUCCGGUGGAGCGGUGAAAUGCGUUGAGAUCGGAAGGAACGCCCGUGGCGAAAGCGAGGUCCUGGACACUUUCUGACGCUGAGACGCGAAAGCCAGGGGAGCAAACGGG
This 254-nucleotide ribosomal RNA is filed under the name uncultured bacterium. Its description in RNAcentral is "partial 16S ribosomal RNA". It matches the Rfam family "Bacterial small subunit ribosomal RNA", at positions 524 to 776 of the family's 1533-position model. The record is from RNAcentral.